GAGUUUGAUCCUGGCUCAGGAUGAAUGCUGGCGGCGUGUCUAAGGCAUGCAAGUUGAAUGGUUUUUUGCUCUAUACUUCGUUUAGAGCUAUGAACCGCUUGCGCUGAUUAAAAGGUGCUUGUAGUUUGUAGCUUGAACGCGGUAAUGAGUAAAGAACCAUGGCAAACGGGAGAGUAACACAUUGAUAACCUGCCCCGAAGACGAGGAUAACCUGGCGAAAGUCAGAAUAAUACUCGAUAGCAUUAAAGAGCUUAUGCUUUUUAAUUAAAGUUCAGGCGCUUCGNGAGGGGUCUAUGGCCUAUCAGU
RNAcentral lists this ribosomal RNA (306 nucleotides) under uncultured bacterium. Its description in RNAcentral is "bacterial SSU rRNA". It matches the Rfam family "Bacterial small subunit ribosomal RNA", at positions 9 to 245 of the family's 1533-position model. The record is from RNAcentral.